Long non-coding RNA from Brassica oleracea var. oleracea, 813 nucleotides. RefSeq lists it as uncharacterized. The record is from RefSeq and is a predicted model, not a curated record. The transcript has 3 exons. Lineage: Eukaryota; Viridiplantae; Streptophyta; Magnoliopsida; Brassicales; Brassicaceae.
AGAAGGGGAUCCGCAUACCUGACCUCUAAAGAGAAACUUAGAGAGUGAAGAUUCACUUCACUACGUUAAAUUUAUCGUAAGGUUUGAGCUCGCUUUCAACAAUUUAUGACCUCAUAUUAUCAUUGAAGUCUGAUCUUAGAUCUUCGGAGUCGUUUCCCAAACCCUCUUCAUUUUCAUUAGAAUUUGCAUUGUAUUUGUAACCCUAACCACUUUUGUAACCGUUCUAGAGUCACAAUUUCAAUAUAUUGAAAUAAUCUGGUCCAUAUGUCCCUAUAUCCUGAAGAUUAACCGCAUUCUAGGAGAAACCUAAAACUUUUCAUUUACUAGUCGCAUAAUCCGUUUCCCAGUGCACAACCCCAGAAAGAUCAACUCUAAACGGCUUGGUCUGUUUAACUUGUACCGAGAGGUGGUUUGAUUUUGAUCUACCCAGACAGCAUUAUGGUGAGCUAAUGAGAGUUUUUUUUCUGGUUGUAACACGUGGAGGAUUCCACGUAAGGAAUGGGAUCAACUGGAAAGGACAAGUUUUCUCAAAGAUGGCGGAACCACACUCAAAAAAAGAAUGGAAGUACAUUAAGAAUGUCGUUGAAGCAGUAGCACGGCAGGGGACUGGGUGAACUGUGGAGAAAGGGCUCAGUUCAGAUGUGACAGAAGGCCUGGCCUUGGAGCCUUCAAGGAUUAUGCGAAAGCGGAUGGAUUCGAAUGUGUGCGCAAACGGUAGCGUCUCUAAUUACAGGAACAAGUCGCAGAAGACCUCUAAUGGCUUGCUUGUCCCUUAGCUUCACGUUUCUUCUUUCAUUGUACCUUUUCUUUUUC